UGUUAAAUAGAUUUUUCCUGGUUUUGCUCAAUGCUAUUACAAAGUGAAACAAAUUUGUACAAACUUCUUAGACAUAUUAUGGGCAAAAUUGAAUUUGAAAGAAGUUUUUUAUCACGCUUUGAAAUUUAUUUAAAGGAGAACCUUGACUCGAUUCUCGUUUAAUACCAGCAUGUAUUUCAUAUUUGCUUUUCCCGUUUCCAGGAUGUAAAUAAUAUGCUGCAUUGGCCGAUUAGAUCCAUCCACGACAAAAGGAAUGUCACAUAAAUUUCAGGUGGAAGGUGGAACAAAGAAAUUGUUUAAUGUAAAUAAAAUAUACCCAAUAUCA
This is a long non-coding RNA of Daphnia magna, 325 nucleotides long. RefSeq lists it as uncharacterized. NCBI's taxonomy places the organism in Eukaryota, Metazoa, Arthropoda, Branchiopoda, Diplostraca, Daphniidae. The transcript has 2 exons. The record is from RefSeq and is a predicted model, not a curated record.